UAGUAGAAGUUUAAUUUAAAGGUUUCCCCAGUUGUUAUGGAAUAUAUCAACACAAUGCCUACGUGUAAUUCAUAUGGGUGUGUCUUGUGUCUUAUGUUUAAUAAAAGAUGAUGCCCUAACCCGUAGCUGGUGUUGUGAACUUUGUUGAACCUAGCUUCACGCACAAAAUACCGACUGCUACAUUAAUAGGUUAUCCAAUUAAAUUUACUUUAAAAUAAGGUAUUGGGAUCCAACUCAAUAAUUGCACUUUCCUGUUUACUAAAUCUGGGAUAGAUAAUUAAUUACAUUAACUG
Long non-coding RNA from Gigantopelta aegis, 293 nucleotides. RefSeq lists it as uncharacterized. NCBI's taxonomy places the organism in Eukaryota, Metazoa, Mollusca, Gastropoda, Neomphalida, Peltospiridae. The transcript is spliced from 3 exons. The record is from RefSeq and is a predicted model, not a curated record.